Oncorhynchus tshawytscha (Chinook salmon) is the source of this 670-nucleotide long non-coding RNA. The record is from Ensembl. NCBI's taxonomy places the organism in Eukaryota, Metazoa, Chordata, Actinopteri, Salmoniformes, Salmonidae.
GUGGUUGUAUUAUGAUUGUGUUGUGGUUGUGUCGUGGUUGUGUUGUGGUUAUAUCAUGGUUGUGUUAUGGUUAUAUCAUGGUUGUGUUGUGGUUACUACCUGGUGUGGGUAGGCGUCUCCAGAACCCAACAGUCUCUUGUUUUGGUCAAACAGCAUCCAGAGCUGAGAGUCAAACUCUGAUUCAUACAACUGGUCACACAUUACUGGACAGCUGGGGGUCACCUCUCCUGACUUAGGCUGGGGAGAGAGGUGGAGAGGUAGAGAGGUCAGACACACAGUACUGGACAGCUGGGGAGAGAGGUAGAGAGGUAGAGAGGUCAGACACACAGUACUGGACAGCUGGGGAGAGAGGUAGAGAGGUCAGACAGUACUGGACAGCUGGGGAGAGAGGUAGAGAGGUCAGACUGUACUGGACAGCUAGGGAGAGAGGUAGAGAGGUCACACACACCAAACAGAGGUGUAUAAUACAACCUAGACACUCUCACCUGGUGGAAGCUGUAGGUGAGGAUGAUUUCGUAGAGCUGUCUGUUGUUGGGGAGGACGUCUCUGUGACCCAGAGCCUUGAUCUUAGAACUCAGAGGUCUGGAAGAAGCAGGAAACAGACAGUUAGAUGGGAUGCUUGGGGAUAGAUGCUGUGGGUUAGACUGGGUACACUGAGACGAUCUGUCAG